UGUUAUGUCAUGUUAUCGACAUGUGAAUUCAUAGCAUGUCAGAAGGCAGACCCGGAGAACUGAAACAUCUUAGUACCCGGAGGAAGAGAAAGAAAAAUCGAUUCCCUGAGUAGCGGCGAGCGAAACGGGAAAAGCCCAAACCAACAAGCUUGCUUGUUGGGGUUGUAGGACACUCUAUACGGAGUUACAAAAGAACAUGUUAGACGAAUCAUCUGGAAAGAUGAAUCAAAGAAGGUAAUAAUCCUGUAGUCGA
RNAcentral lists this ribosomal RNA (253 nucleotides) under Staphylococcus epidermidis. RNAcentral describes it as "partial 23S ribosomal RNA". It matches the Rfam family "Bacterial large subunit ribosomal RNA", at positions 136 to 382 of the family's 2925-position model. The record is from RNAcentral. Lineage: Bacteria; Bacillati; Bacillota; Bacilli; Caryophanales; Staphylococcaceae.